This 593-nucleotide ribosomal RNA is filed under the name uncultured bacterium. RNAcentral describes it as "partial 16S ribosomal RNA". It matches the Rfam family "Bacterial small subunit ribosomal RNA", at positions 355 to 940 of the family's 1533-position model. The record is from RNAcentral.
UGGGGAAUAUUGGACAAUGGGCGCAAGCCUGAUCCAGCCAUGCCGCGUGUGUGAGGAAGGCCUUCGGGUUGUAAAGCACUUUUGUCCGGAAAGAAAUCCUGUCGGUUAAUACCCGGCGGGGAUGACGGUACCGGAAGAAUAAGCACCGGCUAACUUCGUGCCAGCAGCCGCGGUAAUACGAAGGGUGCAAGCGUUACUCGGAAUUACUGGGCGUAAAGCGUGCGUAGGUGGUCUGUUAAGUCUGAUGUGAAAGCCCUGGGCUCAACCUGGGAACUGCAUUGGAUACUGGCAGUCUGGAGUGCGGUAGAGGGUAGCGGAAUUCCCGGUGUAGCAGUGAAAUGCGUAGAUAUCGGGAGGAACAUCCGUGGCGAAGGCGGCUACCUGGACCAGCACUGACACUGAGGCACGAAAGCGUGGGGAGCAAAACAGGAUUAGAUAUCCUGGUAGUCCACGCCCUAAACGAUGCGAAACUGGAUGUUGGGAGCAAUUAGGCUCUCAGUAUCGAAGCUAACGCGUUAAGUUCGCCGCCUGGGAAGUACGGUCGCAAGACUGAAAACUUAAAGGAAAUUGACGGGGGUCAAUAGCUGUUUCCU